AACGCUCUGGCUUCAAAUCAGG
This 22-nucleotide ribosomal RNA is filed under the name Tilletiopsis washingtonensis. RNAcentral's name for it is "partial 28S ribosomal RNA". The record is from RNAcentral. Lineage: Eukaryota; Fungi; Basidiomycota; Exobasidiomycetes; Entylomatales.